AUGGUGAAAGCCACCCCAUCUGCUUUGUCGUCCAGGCAGAAUUAUGUGAUUGUUCUGAAUGGCAGGAUCUCUACAAAUUUAUCACUGGAAAAUGAUUAUGAAACCAUUGUGAAACAGAUUAAAGAUGAACUGGUCAG
This is a long non-coding RNA of Fundulus heteroclitus (mummichog), 137 nucleotides long. RefSeq lists it as uncharacterized. The transcript is spliced from 3 exons. The record is from RefSeq and is a predicted model, not a curated record. Lineage: Eukaryota; Metazoa; Chordata; Actinopteri; Cyprinodontiformes; Fundulidae.